Oncorhynchus tshawytscha (Chinook salmon) is the source of this 523-nucleotide long non-coding RNA. The record is from Ensembl. Lineage: Eukaryota; Metazoa; Chordata; Actinopteri; Salmoniformes; Salmonidae.
GUAGGAUGGAGAGAGAGAUGGACUACAAACGGGGACAGGUAGGAUGGAGAGAGAGAUGGACUACAAACUGGGACAGGUAGGAUGGAGAGAGAGAUGGACUACAAACUGGGACAGGUAGGAUGGAAGGAGAGAUGGACUACAAACUGGGACAGGUAGGAUGGAGAGAGAGAUGGGCAACAUGGACUACAAACUGGGACAGGUAGGAUGGAGAGAGAGAUGGACUACAAACUGGGACAGGUAGGAUGGAGAGAGAGAUGGACUACAAACGGGGACAGGUAGGAUGGAGAGAGAGAUGGACUACAAACUGGGACAGGUAGGAUGGAAGGAGAGAGAGAUGGGGAACAUGGACUACAAACUGGGACAGGUAGGAUGGAGGGAUGGAAGGAGAGAGAGAUGGACUACAAACUGCGACAGGUAGGAUGGAGGGAGAGAGAUGGGACACAUGGGCUACAAACUGGGACUGGAGGGAUGGAAGGAGAGAGAGAUGGACUACAAACUGGGACAGGUAGGAUGGAGGGAGAGA